This 75-nucleotide small nucleolar RNA is filed under the name Carlito syrichta (Philippine tarsier). RNAcentral's name for it is "Small nucleolar RNA SNORD113/SNORD114 family (ENSTSYG00000029882.1)". It matches the Rfam family "Small nucleolar RNA SNORD113/SNORD114 family". Rfam says of the family: The imprinted human domain at 14q32 contains two clusters of tandemly repeated small nucleolar RNAs named 14q(I) and 14q(II) snoRNAs. These two clusters are named SNORD113 and SNORD114 respectively in the HGNC approved gene symbol nomenclature. The record is from Rfam by way of RNAcentral. Lineage: Eukaryota; Metazoa; Chordata; Mammalia; Primates; Tarsiidae.
UGGACCAAUGAUGACGACUGGUAGCGUAUGAGUCAUGGACGAUGAAUGAUUCGUGUCUGGAAGUCUGAGGUCAAA